GCGCAAUGGGGGAAACCCUGACGCAGCCACGCCGCGUGAACGAUGAAGGCCUUCGUGUUGUAAAGUUCUGUCCUCAGGGAAGAAUAAAUGCCGGUACCUGAGGAGGAUGCCCCGUCUAACUACUUGCCAGCAGCCGCGGUAAUACGUAGGGGGCAAGCGUUGUCCGGAAUUAUUGGGCGUAAAGGGUGCGUAGGCGGCUUUUUAAGUCAGAUGUGAAAGGCUACGGCUUAACCGUAGUUAGCAUUUGAAACUAAAAGGCUUGAGUGCAGGAGAGGAGAGUGGAAUUCCUAGUGUAGCGGUGAAAUGCGUAGAUAUUAGGAAGAACACCAGUGGCGAAGGCGGCUCUCUGGCCUUACCCUGACGCUGAGGCGCGAAAGCGUGGGUAGCGAACA
Molecule: ribosomal RNA, 392 nt
Filed under: uncultured bacterium
Lineage: Bacteria
Description: partial 16S ribosomal RNA
Rfam family: Bacterial small subunit ribosomal RNA
Source: RNAcentral